GAAAGAGAUCCAAUCUUUAUGUGAAAGAAUAAUCUUCAUGUUAAUCAAGGUAUUAACGUGAUUACAGAUAAUUUCUGUAAAUACCACGAAGCAAUCUUCAAGCACCAAGGGGGGUUUUCUUUUUUGUUUUUCUUUCUUUCUUUUUUUUUUUUUUGUCUUUUUGCCUUUUCUAGGGCCACUCUCGUGGCAUAUGGAGGUGCCCAGGCUAGGGGUCUAAUCGGAGCUGUAGCCAUCAGCCUUCACGACAGCCACAGCAACGCGGGAUCCAAGCCGCAUCUGCAACCUACACCACAGCUCAGAGCAAGGCCAGAUCCUUAACCUACUGAGUAAGGCCAGGGAUUGAACCCACAACCUCAUGGUUCCUAGUCGGAUUCUUUAACCACUGAGCCAAGAUGGGAACUCCCAAGGGGGGUUUUCAAAUAAGAAAAAGGUUUUUACACCUGUAGGACAUGGCUUAUAUACUAUCUUCUUUUAAUAAGUAUUUGGGGAAAGAACAUGUUAAAAUGGAUAGUUAAAAUCAAGAUGGAGUUCCCAUCGUGGCUCAGCGGUAACAAACCCGACUAGUAUCCAUGAGGACGCAGGUUCAAUCCCUGGCUUCAAUCAGUGGGUUAAGGAUCCAGCAUCUAUAGCUUGCAGACGUGGCUUGGAUCCCGUGUUGCUGUGGCUGCGGUAUAGGCUGGCAGCUACAGCUCCGAUUCGACUCCUAGCCUGGGAACUUCCAUAUGCUGCAGGUGUGGCCCUAAAAAGACUAAAUAAAUAAAUAAAUACAAUCAAGAUGGAUUCAUCAGAGACCGGGAAAUGCUUUGGAAGCAGAAGAAUAAAACCAAGUUUCACUGACUGUGUGAGCUAAAUUUGGCUUUGAGCUUCCUGGCAACCAAAGCAAAAAUAAACCAAAAGACCCUCACCAUUCCUGUUUUAAAACAAGUAUUCUCAACCAGGCACCAUGCCCCCUAAAUUGGUGAAAACUGGUUCUUGGGGAACAAAAGUCAAAACCUUUGCUAAUGUAAAAAGCGUAGAUAUUCAUGAAGUCCAUAAAUAGAUAUACAGGUAUCUUUACUAUUAAAACUUCUUGAUGGGGAGUUAUUGGGGGGAAAAUGCCUAAAAAGGUGGGGAGAAAUCAUGAAAAGAGGUUGAGGAGCACUGUUUCUGAGUAAAAGGAAUCACUGUGGCUGGAGAGGCAACCUCUCUAGAACAACUGCAAACUCAUCCUAGAAAGAAUGUCGUGAGAAGGCAUGUGACGACACACAGGUCAGUUUCUCCUUGACUCUAACUUUGUAGCCCAACCUUGUUUAGAAGGUUUAAAAACAAAAAAAAAUGCGUCUGCCUAGUUUGAGAGGUCCACUUUUUAUAAAUACAUAUUUAUAAUUUAUACUAGGAAAUUUGUGUAACAUGGAACAAAAUGUGUUCAGUUUUCCUUUCCUUUCCUAACUGUUGCUUGUCACAUAAUUUGCAGCUCCGGAGCCCAGCGCGGGAUUCCCAGCGCUGGGGGAGAAUGGGGAUGUGGGGGAGGGACCUGGGUGGAGUGUGCAGUACAGGGAUUAUCCAGGGAGACUUCCUGGAGGAGGCCGUGGGGCAGGGCAAGAACUAGAACCCAGAUGCUGUUCUAAAAUAAAAACAUUUCCAUAGGGCUAGGGACUAUUUCGAUCAGUUUUGGCUACGGCUUCUACAAAGUGAAAUGCUGACUUUUCGAAAAUAACUGGAAAAAAAAAAAAGAUAAAUUAAAAAAAAAUUACCUGGCCAAGGGCUGGCCCCUGGGCUGCCCUUCCAGGCGGGGGUGCAGUGCAAUUACCUUAGGAUGGAGGAUAAUAUCCGGUCCUAACAUUCAAUGGAGGAUGAGUAUUCAUGCUGGUCAAAGAGGAAAGAUUCUCGCAAAGGAAAAACUUCCAUAUUCACGAGUCUAAAAUUUUCCUGACUAUUUACAAGUUCGAAUAAUCUGAGGGAUCAGCAAUUGGGUGAGAAAGCUCCUCUGAGCCUCCUGGGCUCUGCAUCAGCCUCCUCGGAAGCCUGGUUAGAAGGGGCAGAGUCACACCCUUGCAUUUGACCAGAGACACCUACGGACUGAAAGCAGGAGCCCAGCGCCCCUUCUUCGUUUCAACUCAGAUUCAGAGGAAAUUGGGAGGUCUGAUGCCUCUGGAGUUAAAAGAUACACCCCCUCAAAGAAGCCCUCUCAAAUUAGCAGCUGAAAAGGCUAAAAGGAAACAUAAUAACUGAAGUACAGCCAGAGAGUCCAGGGCUGGGUUGAGAGAGAAAGUUCCAGCCGGCUGGAGGCUCUGCUCUGCUCUGUCUCUAAGCACAGCAGGUGCAGACACGCAGAGGGCUCUGGGUCUGUCCGUCUGGGCUCCAAGUCAGAGACAAUAGAGGUGAUUAAGGACCGUGUCUGAGGAAGAUGCACACAUAGAUCUUAAAAAAUCACAAAGCUCUUUAAGAAGGCGGAAUAGAGGGAGUUCCCUGGCAGCUCAGCAGAGCAGGUUAACGACCUGGUGUUGUUGCGGCUGUGGCUUGGUUGAGUCACUCCUGUGGCGUGGGUUCAAUCCCUGGCCCGGAACUCUUGUAUGCCAUGGGUGCAGCCAAAAAAAAAAAAAAAAAAA
This 2588-nucleotide long non-coding RNA is filed under the name Sus scrofa (pig). RNAcentral describes it as "lncRNA (ENSSSCG00035075842.1)". The record is from RNAcentral. Lineage: Eukaryota; Metazoa; Chordata; Mammalia; Artiodactyla; Suidae.